Molecule: ribosomal RNA, 422 nt
Filed under: uncultured bacterium
Lineage: Bacteria
Description: partial 16S ribosomal RNA
Rfam family: Bacterial small subunit ribosomal RNA
Source: RNAcentral
UGGGGAAUAUUGCACAAUGGGCGCAAGCCUGAUGCAGCCAUGCCGCGUGUGUGAAGAAGGCCUUCGGGUUGUAAAGCACUUUCAGCGAGGAGGAAGGGUUCAGUGUUAAUAGCACUGUUCAUUGACGUUACUCGCAGAAGAAGCACCGGCUAACUCCGUGCCAGCAGCCGCGGUAAUACGGAGGGUGCAAGCGUUAAUCGGAAUUACUGGGCGUAAAGCGCACGCAGGCGGUUUGUUAAGUCAGAUGUGAAAUCCCCGCGCUUAACGUGGGAACUGCAUUUGAAACUGGCAAGCUAGAGUCUUGUAGAGGGGGGUAGAAUUCCUGGUGUAGCGGUGAAAUGCGUAGAGAUCUGGAGGAAUACCGGUGGCGAAGGCGGCCCCCUGGACAAAGACUGACGCUCAGGUGCGAAAGCGUGGGGAGC